AACAAACGCUGGCGGCGUGCCUAAUACAUGCAAGUCGAACGGGGAAAGCUUUCGGGUGAGUACUAGUGGCGCACGGGUGAGUAACACGUGGGUAAUUUUCCAUAGAGUGGAGGAUAACUAGUCGAAAGAUUAGCUAAUACUCCAUAAGACCACGGGAUCUGCGGAUCUAGGGGUCAAAGGUUUUUCGCUCUAUGAUAAGCCCGCGUAAGAUUAGCUAGUUGGUGAGGUAAUGGCUCACCAAGGCGACGAUCUUUAGCUGGUCUGAGAGGAUGAUCAGCCACACUGGAACUGAGACACGGUCCAGACUCCUACGGGAGGCAGCAGUAGGGAAUAUUGCACAAUGGAGGAAACUCUGAUGCAGCGACGCCGCGUGAGUGAUGAAGGACUUCGGUUCGUAAAGCUCUGUCGUAUGGGAAUAAGAAAGUGAAUGUACCAUGCAAGAAAGGAUCGGCUAACUUCGUGUCAGCAGCCGCCGUAA
RNAcentral lists this ribosomal RNA (478 nucleotides) under uncultured bacterium. RNAcentral's name for it is "partial 16S ribosomal RNA". It matches the Rfam family "Bacterial small subunit ribosomal RNA", at positions 29 to 523 of the family's 1533-position model. The record is from RNAcentral.